Molecule: long non-coding RNA, 15117 nt
Filed under: Lupinus angustifolius (narrow-leaved blue lupine)
Lineage: Eukaryota; Viridiplantae; Streptophyta; Magnoliopsida; Fabales; Fabaceae
Description: long non-coding RNA (LANG_LNC000206)
Source: RNAcentral
AUAAUUAAAUAAAUAAAUAAAAUUCUUUGUAGUUUCUUAUUAACUUGUUUUCGUUGUUUGUCAUAGUUAUUUAGAGUUUAAGCAGCCGACAGUGGUACAUGGAAGGAUGUGUGGGCUCCAUGGACAUGUUGACUCUAGAUUUUAAAAUAAUCAAAGGAAAAGAUAGCUCAUGUGGUGCUUAUUAAUUUCAGAGUAAAAUAAAAACAACAUGUGUAAUCUCAUCCAUGUUUACCAAGAAGAUAUUAGUCUAAUGAUUCAUGUAAUCUACUCAUUUGAUAUACAUUUUGAGACAAUUUUGGUAGGAUGACUUUCCUUAACUAAAUUAGUAAUUCAUUUUGGGACCUUAGUUUUAUCUCUCAUGGGGAGAGGUGAAAACUAUUUGUGAUUUGGUGUCUUGGGGAUCAUAAUUGUUCCUUAUGUGUUAACUUAUGAGGUUUCCAUUAUACCCUAUUGGCCAACUGUUUAAGUAUCCACCCAUUAAGCUCAUAUUCGUUAUCAAUUUCAGAAGUCUUUUUUGGUUUUCAUCAAUUAGAUCACUUAUUUUUGUAACCCUGAAAUAAAUAACCAAUAUAAUUAUAUUAAAUAUAUGAUAUUCACCUUAAUUAUAAUUUGAUAGGAUAUUCUUAGCUAUUGGGGGAAAAAACUUAGGUCACUUCCUUCAUUUUGAUCCCAAAAUAUUUUCUAUCCCGUCACUUUACUAUUUUAUGCAAUUACCAAAGCAACUACAUUCCUAAACGAGUGUGGCCAUUCGUGCAAUCAUAUUUAUAGAUAGGUAAACACGUACACAAAGUAUUUGUUAAUAUGUAAUUUAAUUAAUAUUUUGGCUUAUAUCCCUUGUUUCUCUUUUGUUGAUUGAGUGUAAUACAUUUACACACCUAAUAUAAAUAUUUAUAUACAAUUAUUAUAUUAUUCUUUAUAUUUUAAUUUACUUUUUUUGAAGAAUCAAUAAUAAUUAGAUAUGAAUGAUACAAUAAUAAUAGAUAAAAUUCAUAUAUUGUUAUUUCAUACAUGUUUUUCUCUAGUUCAUUAUUCAAUGAAACAUCUUGUUAAUAAAUGUUUGUUACAUCUUGUUAAUAAAUGUUUUUUUUUUCAUUAUACACGGAAGAAAACCCUCAGCAAGGAAUUGAACAUAGUUGAUUAUUCAAGGAAAUAGUUUUACACAUUUUUUUACGUAGCUUCCAUAAUAUCAUUUAAUAGUAAAAAAAAAUCUAUAUUGAAAAUUUUCGAAGUGAAAUCAAUAAAUUUUGCAAGUUUCUGGUGCUUGGUGUUCAUAGGGUUGAAGGGAGUUUUAGAAAGAAGAAGAUGAGGUGAAAUGAGAAUAAGAGAAAUAGACGAAAAUGGAGGUGCAUUUUUUAUAUUUAUUUGUAGUAUAAUUCAUGAAUGUGUAGUUUUGUCGGUAAGAACAUGUUAAAGGUAUAUUAAGUAUUUUAAUUAUCUGUUUUUUUUGGUAUACUAAAGUUUUAUCCUCUCAUAGUUGGGCAUGAACUAUUUUUAGUCGUAAAAAUUACCAAAUUGAAUUUGUCCUUUUUAAUAAAUUGUUUUUUAUACGCACAACAAGAAAUGAAUAUCUCAUAUCAUAUUUAAGCAUUCAAUUAUCUUCCAACAAUAUGAACUUUAUUGGUAUUUAUUUAAAUUAUGUAUAUUUUUAUUAUGUGCUAUGAGCAUAUAUUUAGAUUUUAAAAUAAGUUCUAAUUGUAAAAUAAUGUAUUUACUAUAUAAAAGGUGAUACAUCUAUAUUUUAAUGAUUCUUUAAUCUUUAAUACAUUUCUACAAGUAGUUAAGCACAAAAUGAAUAAAAUUCGAUUGAAAAGUUAUUUUAUUAUUACUAGCGUGUUGACAUGCACUAUCGUGCCUGUCAACCCGCUUUCCUAUCGUUUGUAAUGUGUAGUUUGUAUUUUAUAAAUUCAAAUAUAAUUUUUUACGCUAAAUUUACGGUUGAAUUUAUUCAAUUGGUCUAAUAUUCAAUUUUUUAAAUACACUUUUAAAAUAAGAAGAUAAUAAUGAUAAAAUAAGAAAAUAAUAUUAUAUGGUUUUUUGGUAUAAAUAAAAAGAUAUUGAGGGUAAAAUAGGAAAACAUAAAUUACACCAUGAUGGGUGGUUAUUUUAUGUUUUCCCUUUAUUAAUAGUAUAGAUAAAAUAUAUGUACUUACCUUUUGGUAGAUGAUUAAGAAAUAACAUUUUCAGUCUCACUCGCAUGAGACUAUAAAAUAUGGCUUAAGAAGUGAAGUUUUGAGUUAUAUUUUAUUUAUUAAUCAAAGAUAUUAUUCACCUUAUAAAUAAGAGUUGAUAAUUUUUAAAAUUCUUGAUUUCUCAACAAACAAAUGUUAUUUUCAUGAUAUUAAACUCUACUUUAUUUUAAGAUAUUAAAUUAUCUAUUAGAAAUUAAAAGAGAAAAAAUGAAUGCAUUGUAGUGUAUAAGUUUUAUACUUAUUAUUACUAGCGUGUUGACAUGCACUGUCGUGCUUGUCAACCCGUUUUCCUAUCGUUUGUAAUGUAUAGUUUGUAUUUUAUAAAUUCAAAUAUAUUUUUUUGCGCUAAAUUUACGAUUCAAUUGGUCUAAUAUUCAAUUUUUUAAAUACACUUUUAAAAUAAGAAGAUAAUAAGGAUAAAAUAAGAAAAUAAUAUUAUAUGGUUUUUUGGUAAAAAUAAAAAGAUAUUGAGGGCAAAAUAGGAAAACACAAAUUACACCAUGAUGGGUGGUUAUUUUGUGUUUUCCCUUUAUUAAUAGUAUAGAUAUAAAUAUUGUCAAUCAUUUAUAUUUAAUUAGUAUUGACUCUAUAAGUAAUAUAAAUGAAUUAUAUAUGAUAUAUUAAUUAUGUAAAUAUUUUUACACUAGACAUAUACAAAUAUUAUACUCAAAUUAAAAUUAUAUAUAAAUCUUUAAAAAUGGUAUACUGCUAGCCCCGAAUUACCCAAUCAUAUCAUAUUACGUGUCCAUCUCUACCCGCAAAUCUUACUUUAAACGUCUAAUAACUUUAUAAAGGUUGUGUUAGGGAUGACAAUAAUAUUCGUGGUGGUUACCCAUUAAAAUAUAUAUAAUGGGUAUACAUAAAUAGCUUAUGGAUAGGAGUGGAUAUCAUAAUAUUCGCCCUGCAGUGCCCACAUAUUUAUAAAUUUAUUUUUUAAUUAAAUAAUUUAUAUAUAUUACAUUUUUAUUAUUAUUAUUUUAUAAUUUAUAUUAUCUAUUGUCAUCCCUAGGUUGUGUUACGUUUGGAUUUUCUCAUUAUAAAACAUUUUUCAAAUGGAUUAAAUACACAAUACCAUUUUCAGUGUAUUUUUAUUAAUCUACUAACCUUGUAUGAUAUCUUCCAAUGAAAAUAAAUCUGCAAAUUAAUUUUGCAAUACAAAAUGUUUUAUAAUACCUUGAAACUUUUUGGUAAACUUAUUAUACAUUUAUGCUUUUGUAUUGAACAUCAUAAAAGCAUAUAUCAAUACGAUCUAUAAAUGAAGGUUUCCCUUCUGUUGUUGGGAUUUAUAGAGAAUAUGAUUAAAAAAACCAUAUAAAAAAACACAUCAUUCUUAAUGAAAUUUUUUCACUUUUUUUUGCAUUUUUAAUUAUUACGAGAUAGCAAGAUCUUAACUUUAAAAUGUAUAAAUAUCUUUAGAUAAAUAAAACUUGUUAAUUAUAUACAAAUAGAGUGAAACAGGAAAUUAGUAAAGCAACUUUACAAUUAGUUAAUUAUCUACUGACAUUUAAAGUUUGAAAAAGACUUUGGCAAGGUAAUUGAAUAAAGGAAUAAUUUAAGUGCCAUCAACAUGUUAAGAACAAUGCCUUAUCAUCCACAAAUUUCUCCCACGUCCAUUUUUCCUUUAAUUGAUGGUAAUUUUGGCAACACAAGAUUGGAGUAAUUUCAUUUUCAUUCUAGAUAUGAAUCCUAUCAUUUGCAUUUCAUAGGAUUGAAAGACAAUAUGUUUUGGGUAUAGAUGAAAUGCGUGCUCAAUGCAACAAACUAGGGGACAAAUAAUCAACUUGUGCAUUUAAUCCUCAUUAAGAAGAUAUUGAUAAGAGCUUUAAAUAUUAGUCCUCUCUAGGUGGUUUAAGUAUAAAGUACUUCAUCAUAAUUUAUCAUAAAUUUGAGUAGUUAUUAGGUAUUAAAUAUCAACCCACAACCUCCCAUAAUUUCUAUGUUAAGAGAGCUACCUUGUGUUAAUUAGGAUGGCAUUGCAGUUUUUGUCAUUAAAUAUCGACAUGUAGUUUUAUUUUUCUGAUAUAAAGUUUGUACAUAAAUUUCAAUAAAUUUUUCAAUUUGUACCUAUAAAUUUCUCAAAAUUUCUAUAAAGAAGUACAUUACUUUACUUCAAAGUUUUUAACUUCGCCGCAAUAUUUUUUUUUUCCAUUUUGCAUAGUGAAAAUUCAAUUAGUUGUUAAUAUAGUGAAAUUAUACGGUUAAGGAAAUGUAUCAAAUUCAAUAAAAUUUUGUUCAUUUUUAUGUUUUAUGAUUUAUGUAACAUGUAUGUUACAAAAUUAUUUGUAACUUAUGUUACAAAAUUAAUUACAAAAUUAUUAGCGAUUUGUAUGUUACAAUGACAAACAUAACAACAUUGAAUAUAGUAAAAGGUAAAAUUAGAAUAUAGAAAUUAUACUUGUACAAUUAUAUUUGUACCUUAAUUAUGUUUUGACUUUAUAUAUAUUAGUAUAAAGUAUAAAUAAUAUUAUUCAAUAAAGCUUCCUAAUGCAUCAGUUCAAUUUUUUUAUGCUGGAAUAAAACAAUUUAUUAGUAAUUAUGUUUUUAAAUAAAAAAGAAAUUAAUUGUAGUUAUAGAUACAAAAGCUUCAAAAAAAGUCUUAUAAAAAGGACAAGAUAAAGUAUAUAACAUAAUAAUAAAUAACUUUACCUAAAUAUUUUUAUAAAAUAUAUUAUAUAUAACUAACUUGAUAAAUAUAUAUUGUACAGGAGAGUAAAAUUAAACUACAAUUAUUAGGAGUAACUCAAAUAAUCCUUAAAGUUAUUUUCAUUAGUCCAUAGUCGAAGACUAAUUCCUUUCUGGAUCAUUAAAGUUAACUUCAACUCUCUCAAUAAAGUUUUUCUAUACAUAGGACGAGGAUCGAAACCUUAACAAGGUAUUUAAGAAAUUAAGUUAUUUAUAAAUUGUGUUGGACUUUAUUGAUAAUUUAAUCCUUAAUUUUGGAAUGACAUUGGAUUUUUAAUUUUAAAUCUUGAUAUUUGAAGUUUUUAUUUGAAGAAAUUUUUUAUUGCACAUUCUUUUUAUAUGCUAGCCUUUUCUCUUGGAUGUUAACCAGCUUUAUAUUUUCAUUCAAUAAAUUUAAUAUUAUAAUAAUGCAGACAUAAAUAAAAGUUAUAUAAUAUAAAUGAAAUAUGUAACAUUUAUUAUCAGUGAUAAUGAUAUAUUCAAUUUUAGAGAUAUAAUAAAUAUAUAAUGUAAUAUGGCAAUAUAAUUUUUUUAGUGAGAGUAAAGUAGGAUAACCCAAAAUUAUUUCAUCUAACUAGUAAUUCCUUUUUAUAAUCAAUUGAUUCAAUAAAAAAAUUAAUUCCGCCUGAAUUUUUUAAUUCAAUAGAUUUAAUAUUAUAAAUAAAAUAAUAGAAAAUAUACAUUAUUUUAGGAGUGGAAUUUUAUAUAAGGUGCCAAAUCUGUCCAUUCUCCUCUUCAACUUAUACACAGUCUUCCCUUGUCUUUUAGUGUUAACAAAAAUUUAAGAACAUUGAAGACGAGGUAAACUUUCAUUUGAUCAAAUAAAUUUCCCUUUCAACUUUUAUAAGAAGACAAGAAAGAAACAAGUUGAUACAAAAGCAACCUUUAUUGGUGCUCCUAUUAAUAUCAUGAAAAAAUAAUUCAUGCAUAUAGACAGUGUAAUAUAUUUUGACAUUACCCAUCAUUUAUAUAUUAGGCAUCAUUAACUUUUACUUAAAGUAACAUUCAUGAAUAAUAAUUGAUAUAUUGAUACUGCAAAAAAAAAACUUUAUCCUAAGAUUAUAUAUAUAUUUAACAACCAUUUAAUUCAAAUAACUUGUAUAUGAAUGGCAUGAUAUCCAUUACUUGUAAGUUAUUUUGUGAACAAGAUAUUUAUAAAAAAAUUAUUUGUUUACUAGUAAUUAAGUUAAGAUGAGUUAAGCUCGGAAGGAGCUCAACAUAAUAAAAUUUUGAUUGACUUUUUUUUAUAAUUGAAAUUUUAUUAAAAAGGGAACAAAAUUACAAUCAUGAAUAUAAGAAACCAGAUACAUGGAAUAGAAUAAAAACCCCAACAAACGUCAUAAGAGAACAAAUAAUACACACCCAACAUAAAAGAGGUCUAACAAUAACAAUUCAAACACAAAAUUGGAUUAGAGACUCAUUCAAACCAAGAUAUGAAUGCCCCUUUGUAUCCACAUUUGAUCCACAAAAUUGGAUUACAUCAUUUCGAUCUUUCCAAAUCAACCAAACUCCAACCAUCUAGAGCAUAGAACAAAUGUCUUUCAAAUCACUACCCUUAACUGGUAAGAAAUGUUGUAAAUAAUGAGAUUUAUCGAUUGAAGGCAACACCACCUGACACCCCAACGAGCUAUAGAGAAGUUUCCAAAACUGGUAAGCAAAAUGGCAAGAGAAAAAAAGAUGAUAUGUUAUUUCUAGAUGCGCUUGACACCAAACACAUAAAAGAUCAUUACUUGAAAAGUUUUCAUCCUUAUUGGCUAGAUUCCACUUACAUGGAAUUCUAUUCAAAAGAAGUCUUCAAGCUAGAGCAUGAAUCUUCUGGAGUGCCACAGAUUUCCAAACUGAAUUCCACAUCUUUUUGUCCUAUGAACUAGACUCCUCCGCUUGCCAAAUAAUUUUAUAAGCUGACUUGAUCGAAUAACAAUUAGACACAUCAUAUCUCCAUAUCCAUCUGUCUUUUACCCCCUCCUCUAACUUGGUCAAACUCAAAAGCUCCAGAAACUCCUCUAACAAAGGUUUUCCCACUCGAAAGGUUCCAUUCUCCAAGGAGUAUUUCAAACCCACAACCGCUCCCGCCACAUGCCUGACUGCCCAACCAUAAUUCCAUUUUCCGAAACCAAAUUAUAAAGCCUCUCAAACGAGUCCUUCAAGGGACCUUUCCUCGCCCAAAAAUCCGACCAAAAUCGAGUGUGACUCUCAUUCCCCACCACCUUCUUAAAACCACCCUUCAGCUUCCCAAUAAUAUGAUCCGACCCUCCUACGACCUUUUUGAGAUCUCCCCACCAAAAUGACCUUGAGGACCGUCCAACACCAAACCCAUCUCACUCAAAGACGGUCUGAACCCCAUACUUCAAUUCCAAAACUUUUAUCCAAAGAGCCUCUCUCACAACACAUCAACUCAAUAAGAAAAUGACUUUAUCUUGAUGGUUCAAAUUUAGUUCCCUAUAAACUCACAAUGAUGUUCCAGUUCGAAGGCAAAAGAAUAAGUAUAAUUAAGUUAAACAAAAAGGGUGAUAAGUGUAAUUAAGUUAAACAAAAUAUGAUAUAUUAUGGAAACAAGUACAAAUAGUAUACGAGUCGAUACAUUUUCAUUAUUUUUUGUUCGUUACAAUAUAGUAUAAGAGUGAUUUGAACAAUAUAUCCUUAGAAUUAUUGAAGCAUUUUAUAAUCAACCAAAAAUAAUGAAAAUGUAUUGACUCAUAUAAUAUUUGGAGUUGUCUCUACAAUAUAUCAUAUUUUGUUGAGCUUAAUUACACUUAUUAUCUUUUUUGUCUAAAAGAUCACACUUAUUUAUCAUGCAGGAGUAGUCAGUAUAAUGUAUAUAUAAAAAUUAAGGGUUUUUGUAGGUGUAAAAGAUGAAGUGAUUUAUAUAAUUUCACUAAACUCAAGGGGUGUGAGUGUAAUUUACUCUAAAAAAUACAUCAAUUAUCUUUUUUUAAAUCAACAACUAUUUCUGUCUAUGAAUUUCGCUAUUUAUAAAAUUUAUCCAUUAUGAAUAUGUUUAAUAAUUACGAGUUUCUAACUAAAACAAUGACACAAAAUACAUAAUGACAUAUUUUUAAACCUUCAACAAUUCAACUUCAUUCUCUAUGUUUAUUUGAACAAAAAAAUAAAUCAUUUUCAAGAACUAAUGGUGGUUAUUUUAGGACUAUAUAUAGAUAUUCAAUUAUCAAUACAUUUGUCAUUCUAAAGCAUCAUAAUAAAAACACUUGGGAUGAUAUCCAUCAAAAUGUCAUGACUAAAAAUCAUAAAUAACAUGUAUCACUUAAAACAACUUCAUAAUAAUUAUGAGACAAAAGGAUUUAUAGAAAUGUAAUUCCUAGUUAGUUUUAGUUAUAGAGAUAGAAAGAAUUUGAAGUAUCUCAAAAGCAAAACGUUUUUUCCUAUGAAAGUAUCGUAGGUUAAUGUUAUCCUUACAACGAGAUAGUUUCAACAUAAAAAUACGAUACAUGAUGUAACCCUUCAGCAACAUCCAAAAUAUCAACUCGUCAAGACCAAUAUCACAUUCCCCAACUAUUAAGAACCUCAACAUAUCAAGAUCAAUAUCACAUUCCCCAACUAAUGGAAACCUUAUCCUCUACCAUCUCUUGGGCAUAAGUGUUGUAUGUUAUCUGUGUGAUAAUAACAUAUAAAAGUAUACAAUACACUGAAACAAAUAGAGAGUAAUUUAUACACAAUAUGUGGAAUUAUAUGGAAUAUAAAUAUCAUAACACAUCAUAACCAAUCAUAGCACAAAAUAAAUAAACCACAUAACAUUUCUGCAACAUGAACUACAUUAUGUAUCCCAACUAGUUCAAUACAAAUACAACGCAUGUGGAUACAUAUUCAUCCUUUUAAUUUUCAACUCAAUCCCCAUUAUUUUUUAACUCAACUCAUCAAGUUCACCUAUCAAACUAGAUGAUUCUCAUACCAAGAGCUCUCUUAUCGAUCUAGAUAACUCAUAGAGGUGUCAGAAUCACUUGGUUAAACAUGAUUAUCAUGCCUAAACCGUCACUAUACUAUCCUACCCAUGCAACCCUCAAGGUUUUCACGAUGAAUCACCAUCAUUAAUCACCCAUAUUCAUUUCCCAAGAUAUUUCUAUCCUGAAUAUUUACGUUCCACCGCAAUCUUCAUCUUAACUUAGGUUGUUCUAGCACACAAGAUUCUAUAUUGAUCUUAUCAUAGGGGAUAAGCUUGGACAUUGUAGUUGUCAUCAAGCAAUACAGAACAAUAACAAUUAUCACUGAACUUGACACUCCUAUUGGAAUAUCUUGUACGAGAUUCCUAACUUCUUUCGCUAAAGUCGAAACGGCAUCGUAUCCAAUAUAGCUUAAAUAAACCAUUGCGACAUCGUUGAGUUUCUAAGAUAGUUUAGAUCAUUUAGGUCACAAGAUCAAGGUAUAAGUAUUAUAGAAGUUAAUUUGUGUUCAUUUAUGUGUGGCUCUACUAUUUCAUAAGUUGUGUUUUAUCCCUAUGUUACUUGAACCUUUUGAACCUAAGUAGCUAAAACCCUUGUUGGAUUGAAUGUAACACUUUUAAUUCAUUAAAUUCUGAUUAUCUUUGAGUUUUUGUAUUUGCUUAAUGAUUGCUUUAAGUUUGAUCAUCUUAUUGCAUGAUUAUUGAAAAAAUUGCUUAGAUGUCUUUUACUUGCAUUACUAUGAACUUGUAUAACUCAACAAUCGAUACAUUUUCUAGACUUAGACUUAUAUUAUUUAUCUUAUCAUGCAUUUUACUUUAUUAGUAUCUAGACAUAGUGUCAAUCUUGUAAUUUUAUAAUCGUCAAAUUAGAUGAUAUAGACUACUAGACAUAGAGGGAUAUUUAACAAUUCAAAUAACACUAGACUACUAGUGACGAUUCUAGGAUCUAGAGGCAGGUGUGCAACAUAGGUUAAAAUUAAAAUAAUAAAUAUGAUCAAUUAAAAAAAUGAAAAUAUUAUGUCAAAAUUACAAAAUUUAAAUAUAUAAUAACUUUAUUUUAUUUAUCUAGACUACUAGAUAUAGAGGUAGAUUAAAAAAAUAUUAGUAUAGAUCAAGACAUUAGCGGCUAAUACAAUUGAGAUGUCGAGUUUAACUCAAUUUUGCAUGCAUGGACUACUAGACAAAGAAAUAUAUUAUGCAUUGUCAUAUAUAAUAACUUUAUGAAUAAAGUUGUUAGACAUAGAGUUUUGUUGUAUAAGUUGUUAAGUUGAAAAUGAAGCAAAAAUAGCAAUAACAAUCAAGAUUUAAAUUUUUAAUCAAUGUAACAUGUUUUUAUUAACGUGGAUAGCAUAUGAGAUAUGAUUUGGAAUAACCAAUGUCUAGUAAUAAAAUAUGGUACACUGGUACUCUGUUAAAAAAAUCACAACUCUUUUACUUGAGAUCUCAACUAGCUCCUUAAUGAAAUCAUGAAAAUAGCUGUUAACCCAGAAUUAAAGGUCAACUUUCAAUUAGUAAAACACUCAAUAUGUAUCCUAUAAACCUAAGGCCAUUUUUAAUGUUAAAAAAACAUCAAUCAACCAUGCUAAACUAAUAAAUAAAUGAAUGAACAAUGUGGCACUAGAAUAUAUAGAUCUUAAAUCCUGAGACAAAUCAAAAGUUUUAAGAUUUGCAUUUUUCCUUGCUUGAUAGCACAAAUUGCAUGAGAUGCCUAGGUUUCAGUUUCAGGCGAAGUUGAUGGUUGCAUUACUAGUCACAUUCCUUUUUGUGGCACUGGAAGACCCUACACUAGUUUGUUCUUAUGGUAAUAAUUAAUUUGUUGAUAUAAUUCAGGUUUGAAAUCACUUUUAUUGUAUAAUACAUUCAUGGUGAUAUUUUUUUUCCUUCUUGGUCAGGACCUGGAAAAACAUUAGCAAUAGAAUUUGACAUGAGGUUUAAAUGGUCCAGAAAGAUCAAUGCUGGAAGAGAAGGUGACAAUGAUCAUGCAAGUUUGGAUAGUGAUAAUAAGGGAGAUGUGUUAGAAGGAUUCGGAUUCACAACCAUAAGGUUAAGUUCAAGAAGACGUCCACUACCACCACCACCCGCUCCCAUGGGAAAUCGACACAAAGUAACUGCGAUAGCAUUCAUUGCGGCUGCUCGGCCUUAGAGUAUUCGCCGUCCUCACUAAUUUGUCUUUUGUUAGUACUUAUUUUCACUUAUGGUCUCUCUGUGUACAGAUUUAUAAUUAUUCAUCAUGGUUUAAUUAUGAUGUACAUUUUCUCCAAUAACAUUAUGUCUUGCUAUGUCUACAAAACAUACGUUUGAGCUAUGCAUACAAAAUCUGGAAUGUAAUACAUAGUUAUGAUACAUGCAAUGCAAAUGUGAUUUUAUCAAAAUAAUAAAUAUGUUUUGGUGUAGCAGAUUGAAAAUUACGUGUAUUACCUAUGUUAUGUAUGAAUUAGUAUCCUCUCCGUUAACGGAGAGGCAAGUGCUUCAAAAAAGUAAAAAGAAAUGCAACUUUAAAUUAUACAUAUAUCUUUUUUAUUACAAUAAAAUUAUAUAUUUGCCAUUAAAAAAUAUGUAUUUGUCUCUCCAUCAAUGAAGAUGAUCUUUAUUCGUCGGAGGAUUUGCACGAAAUGCAUUAGAAAAACAAAUGUGACAUUUUGAACAUUACCGUAGACUAGAGUACACAACAACUAAUAAUUAGAAGAGUGUUGUGUUAAAACAGAACAAGGACAUACAAAUAUUGCAAAUUUCAUUCCAUUGUACUUCGUAACUUUAUAUGCCAUGAUAUAUUUUGGGAAGACGAUGAAGCCCUCACCAGAACUCACAUUCACUGAUUUAUGUACUUAUUUAUAAUUUGUUUCCAUCUACUUCGAACUUCAAACUAUGUAGAUAAGUUUACACGAUUACAUGUCUCAAAAAAUUCAUAUCUUCAUGUCCCAAAUUAAUCACAUUACAACCAGUAAUAAAAAAAAUUAUUUUCUACUUUUAUAAUUUUUUUCCUUAAUUAAUUAGUUUGAGACAGGUGAUCUUCGUACAUUUGGUUUCUUUCUUCAGCUAACUUGUUUGUUACAUCAACUCAAAACCAUGAUUAAUUUGCCAGUUUUUUUUGACAGCUAAGUGCAUACAACUACAAGCAAUAAACUAUUAUAAAUUUAUCUUUGGAGUUAUUAUUCAACGAUUUUAGCUAACCACCAUUUUGAGGUAUCCUACUUAAAAAUUCAGUAAUCUCUACAAUUUCAAGGCUUGAGCUUUUUCAAUAUCUCCACUUGAUCUUGUACAUUGACUUAAGGAUAACCAUUGCUUAAUUUUUUAAUGCUGAGACUUGUUGAUUCCCCAAACCGCACGAUUCUUAUUAUUAAGACAUUAUAUACAUAUAUACAUAUUCAUUCACCUAGUAUACACACUAUAUAAUACAGUAUACAGUUUAAGCUGGGAUGAAAGUGAAUUUGAAUCUUGUUGGAGAGUUCAUUACCACGUUCGGAUUAUAAUAUUUGAUAAAAAUAAAAAUCUAAUAGUUUUCAUUUUAAAUUAUUUUUUAAUAAAAUAAUUUUUAAAUCACUUUCCAAAUGAGUAUAGCAAGUAUAAAUGUCAAUCAUUAAUUCAUGAUAAAGCUUACUAAUUUGCAAACUGGUACUUAGUUCACAUGGAUGUUAACUAAUCCCUAAUCGUUAGAUCAAAAAAUAUGGUCACUGACUACCGAUUGUACAUUUUUUAAAAGUCGUUUAGCCAAAAUAUGACUAUGAAGAAGUUGGGACACCUUAUCCCUAGAAGUCGGGAAAGCAAAUCACGACUUCAAAAGUUGGUUUUGCAUUUUACGACUUCUGUAAAGUACACAUUAAUGUAGCAUAAUUAAAGGGUAAGAAAAGGGUAACACGAACAAUAACUGAACUAGAAAUGUUUUUCUCACGAAUGUACUUCUUUUCUCUCCUCUUUUUCAUGGUCCAUUAUGUGCAAUAAUUCCGAGUCCUCUAAUAAGAAAUAAACUGAAUUGCGUUAUUGAUGAAGAAGAGAUAAAUACAAGUGUUACCUACGAGAAGAGAAAUGAGAAUUGGGACCUACAACUGAUGAGUGUAAAGUAAGUGUGAAUUUUCUGAACAUGUGUCUCUUCUCUCUUUUCUUUUAAUAUUCAGUUAAAAAACAGAGAGAAAAAAUGUACACACUACAUUAACUACAAUUCAUAUACGAUCUAUUAGCUCUUUAAAAUAUAAUACAAAUAAAUGAUAAAUAAUAUACUAACCAUAUAUAAAUAUUUACAGACAAUACAUAGAUAUUACAUUACAAAACAAAUAUUAUAUGGUUAAUUUCAUCUCUAGUGUCAAUAUUAUUGCUUAACUUUAUCUUGAAGUUUUUAUAUUAUUCCAGUUUGGUUUUUAACACAAAAUUAAAAGACAAAUUGAUUGAUGAAACUUCUCAAAUUUUGAAGAUCUCAUUUAGUUUUUAUAUAUUAAGCAAGCAAGUAAACAUGAUUUUUCCAAGACACCAGAAACCACCGCUUAUAGCAAAAAGGAAAACAAAUAAUAACAAAAACAACAAUAACAAAAUUAACAGUUGGGAAGUCUUGAUUCCUAUAUCAUAUUCCUCACAGAAGUCGUACUCCUAAAUAACAACUUUUGCACAACAUCGUUAGUCAGUCAAGAUUAAGAUUAAGGACCACUCAAUCUCGCAGCUAAGAAAACAGUUCGCAUUAAUGCGAACUAACUUGCAAUUAGCAAGUUAGACACCACCAAUAACUAAUUCCCUUAUCCAACACCACCCUAAACUCUUCGUUUUAUCUUCGUUUUAUCUGUAUGCAAUUGAAUCGAACUGCGAAACGUAGUUCAAUUUCCCAGUUGAGUUCAGUCAUUUUCUUGAUGAAUCAUUUAUGUUGGGUUCAAACUUUCAGAAACUUAGGAACCAUUAGAAAUGAACCACAAAUUAAAGAAAUAAAUAUUAUGAAAUAAUAUUUUAUGGUUGUUAAUUCUUCAUCCAAUUUUGUGACUAAAAUUAUCAAUUCCAUGUAAAUUGUAAUGUAAUACAUGUUACUAAAUUUUUAUGUUCAUAUUAGAUUAUAUCUUCUAACUUUAGUGGUAUUAAGUUUCAAACUAAUAUAUUAUGUAUUAUUAUAUGUGCGAUAAUUAGCUUUCUUCUCUUAUCAAAUACAUUUGAACAUUGAAUUGAUGCAAAAGAAAAAAUACAAGAAAAUAAUUGUAAAAACAAAUCAUUCAAGAACAGAAAUUCAGUUAAAUUUAUAAUUAUUGUUCGAUUAAACAACUAAAAUGCACCAAAAAUCAGACUGAACUUUUACAAUGCUAAAAGAACCAAUCCAAACAAAGUCAGACUACAAUUCCAGGAAUGUUCAAAGUUGCAUUGCUAUAGAUAAGCACGAUUGAAUUAUUCCACUUGUUAAAAGAAUUAUUUUGCUAUUAAAAACAAAUAAAAUUGUAAAUGAAUACGUAUUACAUGACAGUUUCAAAUACCACAACUAUUUCAAAAAUUAGAUUUUCAUGUCAUCACAAUCACUAUUAACCUUCACACUACAUAUUUUUAAUUUUAAAGCACAACCCUAAACGAUUCGGCAACGAAAAAGGCCAACUUUUAUUGCCAACAUAUUCAAAGAUUGCAGAGACACUGAUAACAUUUCACUUCAUUUUCAACAAAUAAAUGAAAGCUACUUUUGUUACAAAAAUUACGAAACCGAUAUCAAAGAAAAAUUAUGCGUAAAAUGUUGUAAUUCAAAGAAAAAUUGAAGCCUCGGUCAGCCAGAAAUUCACAUCAAAAUUCUUCAGACGGUAAUUCCAAUUUAAAUAAUUCUUCACAGGCUUCGGAAAAAAUAAAAUGAGAUUAUAAUAAUGACAAAAUGUAAUCGCAUAAAACGGCUCCGUGGAUCGAAUGAAUAACAGAAUCCACAGAUUCCUAUCAAAAUGCGAAACAAGAAACUCUUGAUUUUGGUUCAAUCAUAGCAUCGUUGGUCAUAGCAAACAUAGCUACCAUCGACGUGGCAUCGAACCUAAUUAAAUAACCUAAACAAUAAUUAAUUAAAUAAAUAAAUAAAUAACAACCCUCAGAUUCCCUUCUCAAAUCACACACACAGCGAAGAACCAUUGGAACCAAACGAAUCUCAGAACUGAAUGGCGAAUCACAAAACGAACAAAUCGAGAUGGAUUUGACAUUAGUUGAUGAGAACGAUUUUUGGACCGUGAUUGCAAGCGCUGGUGUAAAGUGUCAUACGGCACUUCCUAUCAAUUUGGGUUAUCUUCCUCAUUGGGAUGAUGAGAUUAAUGUAAGAAUAGUGAAAUAAGAAAAUAAUGGAAAAUGAGAACGAGAAGAAGCUACGCCUAUUGAGUAGAAUAUGAAAAAUUAGGGUUUGAGAGUGUGAUAUUUAUAGGCAUG